UGCCCCCCGGCCCGGGAUAGCCCCAGGGAAACCUGGAUUAAUACCGGAUGAGACGGGACCCGCGAUGGCGGGAUCCGGGAAAGGCGCUGCGGCGCCGCCGGGGGAUGAGUCUGCGUCCCAUUAGCUAGACGCGGGGUAACGGCCCACCGUGGCGACGAUGGGUAGCCGGCCUGAGAGGGUGGACGGCCACAUUGGAACUGAGACACGGUCCAGACUCCUACGGGAGGCAGCAGCUAAGAAUCUUCCGCAAUGGGCGAAAGCCUGACGGAGCCGACGCCGCGUGAACGAAGAAGGCCGUGAGGUUGUAAAGUUCUUUUCGGGAGGGGAACAACCGUGGCAGGGAAUGGCCGCGGGAUGACGUGAAUCCCGGAAUAAGCCCCGGCUAACUACGUGCCAGCCGCCGC
RNAcentral lists this ribosomal RNA (404 nucleotides) under uncultured bacterium. RNAcentral's name for it is "bacterial SSU rRNA". It matches the Rfam family "Bacterial small subunit ribosomal RNA", at positions 127 to 518 of the family's 1533-position model. The record is from RNAcentral.